UGAGUAACACGUAUGCAAUCCACCUGUAACAGGGGGAUAACCCGGAGAAAUCCGGACUAAUACCCCAUAAUAUGGGCGCUCCGCAUGGAGAGCCCAUUAAAGAGAGCAAUCUUGGUUACAGACGAGCAUGCGCUCCAUUAGCCAGUUGGCGGGUAACGGCCCACCAAGGCGACGAUGGAUAGGGGUUCUGAGAGGAAGGUCCCCCACAUUGGAACUGAGACACGGUCCAA
This 230-nucleotide ribosomal RNA is filed under the name uncultured bacterium. Its description in RNAcentral is "partial 16S ribosomal RNA". It matches the Rfam family "Bacterial small subunit ribosomal RNA", at positions 107 to 334 of the family's 1533-position model. The record is from RNAcentral.